Long non-coding RNA from Cucumis sativus (cucumber), 3451 nucleotides. RefSeq lists it as uncharacterized. The record is from RefSeq and is a predicted model, not a curated record. The transcript is spliced from 4 exons. Lineage: Eukaryota; Viridiplantae; Streptophyta; Magnoliopsida; Cucurbitales; Cucurbitaceae.
AGAAAAGGGAGAAGGAAGAACAAGAGUCAGCAACAGAUUAUUAGAGCUGCUGGAAUUAUUGGUUCCAAAAAACCAUCAACAAAGGAGGUCGAGUAUCUGUCAAGUUUCGACGAGGUAUUAAUGUAAUUUUUUUUCAAUGACACAAAAACUUCAAAAUGUUGAUAGGUUCUUAUAUGAAUACCUACAACGGAGAUCAGAAGAUCCAAUGGUUGAGGGAUCCGAAAGCAAGCAUGGAAGUCCAAAAUCUUCAAAGAAGAAGGGAAGGAAUGGACAUCCAAAGGAAGAGACUGUUGUGAAGAAAAAGUCGAGGAUAAAGAGCUUGGUAAUCUGUCUUAUUUAAAUUGAUUUUCUAAGAAAUACAGUCAAAUUUUUUAGGUUGAGGUAUGUGUAGGUUGCAAAAAGAAAAUUUGUGAGACCGACACGUGAAGAAGAAAAGGAAUAAGCAAAAAAGGAAGAGAUGGUAUGUUGUCUACAUUGUUCUACUUCAAUUAAUACAAUGUAGUGUAAUUAGUAAAUUGAUAAUAGAACCUUUACCAACAAAUCUUGUUGAAUAGAAUAAUAUUGAAAAAGUGAACAAGACAAACAAUAAGAACAAGAUGAACAUGAAGAAGGACAAGGUGAAACAAAUAUGAAUGAGGAAUGUAGUUUAAAAACCAAAAAAACAACUUAAACAAAGGAAGAAUCAAUAGUGAAUAGAAAGAGAAAAAAUGAUACAACAAAGGAAAAGAAGGUAACAGUCUAUAACAUUUGAUAAAUAUAAAAGUUAUAUGGAAUAUAUAAAUCAUAGGUCAAAAGUGCUAAAAAGGAAGAAAAUGUCAAAGAGGAUAAAAGACACAAAGGGAAAGCACCAAUGGCACAUGAAAAGGCUGAGGUAUGUGUGAUAAAUUGCAGAGUAUGUGUAAAUUCAAUAUAAGUAGAACAUAAUGUAUGUGGUUUCUGUUUGGUAUCAAUUACACUGUAUUUGUGAAUAUUUGUUGUUUGUGACCCCAUCUAUUUUGAAAUAUAUUGAAUCUGUUUGUAGUGAAUUACAUUGUAUUUGUGUAUACUGGUUGCAACGUUAUAAGUUAUGGAGUGGGAUACUUUGAACUGUAGUUAACUUAUAAUUUUUGUUGCAUUGUUUUGUUUCACUGACUGAUAGUUUUGCAUUGCAUUGUUAUGUUUAAGUCUAACUUUUCUGGCUGGCUAGGUUAUUACGAUCUAAUUUUGUUGCAUCAUUCUUUCACCGGCUAACCAACAACAUGCAAAUUUUGUUGCAUUGCAUUGUUCCUUUUAAGUCUAACUUUUCUGGCUGACUAGGUUGCAUUGUUUUGAACUGAUUUGGCAUUGUUCUGUUUAAGUCUAACUAACAGCAUGUAAAUUUUGUUACUUUGCAUUUUUCUGUUUAAGUCUAACUUUUAUGGGUCAUUGGUUGACUGAGUUGUAAUGAACUAUACUUGGUUAUGUAUAUUAAGAUUUUUUUUUUCUUUUUUAAUAUGAUUGGCCUUUUACAUAUAUAACUUAUUACAUAUUAAUAUUAGGACUCUGUAUACCUAAUGUGUUCUGAAAGGAGAAAUGAACCUCUAAAGAUUAAUCUCCAAACUAAGAGCACAAUAAUUGAUAAGAUAAAGGAGAACAUUGAAGGUACACUAGCUAAAAGAUUUAGGCAAGGAAUUUUUGGACAUUUCCUUGACUUCUCAAUCACAAUCUAAUCCAAUCAACUUCUGCUGCACCAUAUUCAAAGGAUAUGCAAACUAAAAUCAACAAGCCAACUUAAUUUUUUAAUAGGAGGGGGAGGGUGCUGAAAUUUGGGUUGAAAGAGUUUUCCCUAGUAACUAAACUAAACUGCCAUGGAGUACCAGAUAUUAAAGAGGAAGAUAUUAAGGAGCAUGGCCAUUUGAAGAGAGUGUACUUCGAGAGCCUGAAAACUGUUACCAAAUAGUACUUAAGUGUUAUGUUAAUGUAAGAACUACUAAAACCGAUAUGAUGAUUGCCUAAAGAUGGAAAAGUUGUAUUUUCUUGAGAGCUUUCUAAUCCCAAAAGAAGAGAGCCUAAAUAUAUAAUGGGAUCACACUCUAAUGGUUGAUGAUGAUGAGUUGUUUGACGGGUAUCCGUGGGAAAGGGUGGCAUUUGACCUUCUGGUGGAAUUUAUGAAUAGAGGUGUGUCUAGCAAGGGGCAGACUGGGAAUUCAAUGGGAGGGUUUAUUUUCUCAAUCCUGGCUUGCGAGUACGAGGUAAUCCCAAAGUUGAGUACCCCACCCAACUUCUUUGCAAGAAAGAUUUUGAAUCAAGUUCCUAGAAUCAUUACUUGAGCUGCAAAUACACAACCAAAGUGGAAGGACCUGAAGCAAAAGGUUUUUUAUUCACCCACGGUAUGUAAUUCUUCAAUCAUAGUUAGUACCUAUACUUAUUCCCUGCUUUGGUACUUAGAAAAUAUUUUUAGCUUGAAGUCUGCCUCAUACUUGCUACACCUAAUGAAGUGGGAAGGCCAUAUUUUGCACCCUUUCUUGAGGCUGAAAAAAGAAUACUACAAGAAGUCGAAGAUGAACUUAGAAAGAGCCAACCAACUAACAGAGUUGCUCAAAUGUCAUUAAAUAGAGGCAUGCCCUCUAUAAGUCAGAUGGAUGGAUUGACCAAAAUUGUAGAAAAAUUUGAAAAAAGCCAAGAUAGAAUGGAAAAAAUAUGGGAGAGAUCUAUGAAUUUUUUAAGUCUGUAGAGAUGAAGAUGGAUAGAAAGGUUGAAGAGCUAGGAAACAAAUUGAACGACAUUAUUCAACAAAUGAAGAGUCAGGAAGUUAGUUCUUCUGUUGCACGAUAGACUAACGAGUAUAUGAGACUUUGAAGAGCACCUAGACAGAGUAGAGAAGAACAUAGAAGCAGAAGUAGAAAAAGAAGAAGAUGAAAAAAUGGACUUGUAAUCAACAGAGUCGAACGUGCUUAGGAAAAAAGAUGAGGACUGAGAUGACAAAGAAAAUGGAAACAUAGCUGUAAAUCAAAGCCAAACUUUCAAAGUGCCAGAUGGGGGAUCAACUAAAUUGAACACAUCAGAGACAACGACUGACCAACAAGGAAAAGGGGGACAGAUCUCACCAUACAAGUAUCCACAGGAUCAAUCUUCAUUGAAUUCAACCACAGAAAUAAUGAAGAAAGUGCAACCAACCUUGGGCAAAAUAAAGAACGACCACAAAAGUCCAAGUUGAAGGAAGGUUGCCAAGUGAGGACAGACUUCCAAAUAGAGACAAGAAUAAUCCAGCCAUCCAGCCAUGAGGGUUAUACUAAGCAUAUUCCAUACUAAAAAGGAUUAAUUAUUCUAUGUAAGUUAUAAUUAAUUAUCCUAUACUAAUGAACUUCAUUUUUUUGUUGAUAGUUGUAAAGGAAUAAGAGCCCUCUUGAGCGAAAGAUUUAAACAGAGACCAUAAACUCAAUUUAAUUUGGGAACCUAAAAAUACCAUUACUUUGACAAGAUAAUACAAAAA